Molecule: ribosomal RNA, 1000 nt
Filed under: uncultured bacterium
Lineage: Bacteria
Description: bacterial SSU rRNA
Rfam family: Bacterial small subunit ribosomal RNA
Source: RNAcentral
AGAGUUUGAUCAUGGCUCAGAAUCAACGCUGGCGGCGUGCCUAACACAUGCAAGUCGAACGAGAAAGUGGUAGCAAUACCAUGAGUAAAGUGGCGCACGGGUGAGUAACACGUGACUAACCUACCCUUGAGUGGGGGAUAACUGAGGGAAACCUUAGCUAAUACCGCAUAAUACCCACGGGUCAAAGGAGCAAUUCGCUCGAGGAGGGGGUCGCGGCCGAUUAGUUAGUUGGCGGGGUAACGGCCCACCAAGACGAUGAUCGGUAUCCGGCCUGAGAGGGCGCACGGACACACUGGAACUGAAACACGGUCCAGACUCCUACGGGAGGCAGCAGUGGGGAAUUUUGCGCAAUGGGGGAAACCCUGACGCAGCAACGCCGCGUGGAGGAUGAAGUCCUUCGGGACGUAAACUCCUUUCGAUCGGGACGAUUAUGACGGUACCGGAAGAAGAAGCCCCGGCUAACUUCGUGCCAGCAGCCGCGGUAAUACGAGGGGGGCGAGCGUUGUUCAGAAUUAUUGGGCGUAAAGGGUGCGUAGGCGGUUUUGUAAGUCUUAUGUGAAAUCUAUGGGCUCAACUCAUAGACUGCAUGAGAAACUGCAGGGCUCGAGUGUGGGAGAGGUGAGUGGAAUUUCCGGUGUAGCGGUGAAAUGCGUAGAUAUCGGAAGGAACACCUGUGGCGAAAGCGGCUCACUGGACCACAACUGACGCUGAUGCACGAAAGCUAGGGGAGCAAACAGGAUUAGAUACCCUGGUAGUCCUAGCCCUAAACCAUGAUUGCUUGGUGUGACGGGUACCCAAUCCCGCCGUGCCGUAGCUAACGCGUUAAGCAAUCCGCCUGGGGAGUACGGUCGCAAGGCUGAAACUCAAAGGAAUUGACGGGGGCCCGUACAAGCGGUGGAGCAUGUGGUUCAAUUCGACGCAACGCGAAGAACCUUACCUGGGCUCGAAAUGUUAUGGACCGGGGUAGAAAUAUCCCUUCCCAGCAAUGGGCCGUAAUAUA